This is a long non-coding RNA of Parus major (Great Tit), 518 nucleotides long. RefSeq lists it as uncharacterized. The record is from RefSeq and is a predicted model, not a curated record. The transcript has 3 exons. Lineage: Eukaryota; Metazoa; Chordata; Aves; Passeriformes; Paridae.
CUCAGCCCUGCGGGGGCAUCGCAGGGCGCCUCGGGUAAAGCUGGGGCUUCUCCUGAUUUAAUUUUGGUUUUAUUUUUACUUUUGCAGCGUGCGUAUAAUGUGUGAGUUACAGAGCUAUUAUUAUCUAAAGUCAGAGCCAAUCAUAAGCAAGCAGCUGGUACGUAGUUACUAUCACAGUGGAGUGUGAACAGAAGUGGGGUUGGGGUUUUUUGAGAGCCUGACUGCAGUUGACUGAGAACAGAAACACAGAAGCUAGAUUUACCUGGUCCAUGUCUACAGAGUGUGCAAAGCCUUAUACAAAACAAAAGUUGUCUAUUGCAGCCCAAGCAAGAGAAAGUCAGAUAAUAAGCAGAAGGAUUACGCCACAUCUGGAUGUAUUGCCUUCCAUGACAAAGGAGGUGUUUUCCUGUGCUUUCACCACUCAUAUUGCUACAUCAUGUGUAAAAAAUGUAGCAUUUCAGAGGCCAUCAUGCUUGCUUUUCUCCCAAGGGAUCAAGGCCAACAUAGACUGUGAAGAG